UCCUGGCAGCACCAAUCUACUUCAGAGAAGAUGAUGGACACUGAAGAAACUCCUUAUGGAGUUUACUUUCACUGUGGCAAUAGUUAGCCACUGGGCAAGAAAAUGCCCUUGACUCAACUGCUAACGGUUUGCUGUCCAAGAUGGACAAGCAGGACAGAAAAGAAAGGACUGCAGAUCCUUGACAAGACAAGAAAUGGCUUGUAAAAUGAUGUUUAAAAUGGGAUACAUUCCUGGAAAAGGUAUUGGAAGGAAUUAUCAGGGAAAACCACAGGCUACAUAAGACAAGGACAGCAGCAGGACAAGGCCUGAUUUGACCCACCUCCUUUAUUCACUCCCCUUUGAGGUUGCAAAUGAAGCUGACUAUUACUGCUCUUGUGGGGACCUUGAAAGUCUUGCAUUGUAUUGUCAAAGUUGGACUGCUUGUAAGGUUUUAG
Molecule: non-coding RNA, 434 nt
Organism: Peromyscus maniculatus bairdii (prairie deer mouse)
Lineage: Eukaryota; Metazoa; Chordata; Mammalia; Rodentia; Cricetidae
Source: RefSeq, a predicted model, not a curated record